RNAcentral lists this ribosomal RNA (500 nucleotides) under uncultured bacterium. RNAcentral's name for it is "partial 16S ribosomal RNA". It matches the Rfam family "Bacterial small subunit ribosomal RNA", at positions 30 to 523 of the family's 1533-position model. The record is from RNAcentral.
AUUGAACGCUGGCGGCAUGCUUUACACAUGCAAGUCGAACGGCAGCACGGACUUCGGUCUGGUGGCGAGUGGCGAACGGGUGAGUAAUACGUCGGAACGUACCCAGUAAUGGGGGAUAACUAUCCGAAAGGAUAGCUAAUACCGCAUACGCCCUCAGGGGGAAAGAGGGGGAUCGCAAGACCUCUUGUUAUUGGAGCGGCCGAUGGCUGAUUAGCUAGUUGGUGGGGUAAAGGCCUACCAAGGCAACGAUCAGUAGCGGGUCUUAGAGGACGAUCCGCCACACUGGAACUGAGACACGGUCCAGACUCCUACGGGAGGCAGCAGUGGGGAAUCCUGGACAAUGGGCGCAAGCCUGAUCCAGCAAUGCCGCGUGCGUGAAGAAGGCCUUCGGGUUGUAAAGCGCUUUUGUCAGGGAGCAAAUCCUUGUGGCUAAUACCCACCGGGGAUGAGAGUACCUGAAGAAUAAGGACCGGCUAACUACGUGCCAGCAGCCGCCGUAA